GUACCGUGAGGGAAAGGCGAAAAGAACCCCGGCGAGGGGAGUGAAAAAGAACCUGAAACCGUGUACGUACAAGCAGUGGGAGCACGCUUAGGCGUGUGACUGCGUACCUUUUGUAUAAUGGGUCAGCGACUUAUAUUCUGUAGCAAGGUUAACCGAAUAGGGGAGCCGAAGGGAAACCGAGUCUUAACUGGGCGUUAAGUUGCAGGGUAUAGACCCGAAACCCGGUGAUCUAGCCAUGGGCAGGUUGAAGGUUGGGUAACACUAACUGGAGGACCGAACCGACUAAUGUUGAAAAAUUAGCGGAUGACUUGUGGCUGGGGGUGAAAGGCCAAUCAAACCGGGAGAUAGCUGGUUCUCCCCGAAAGCUAUUUAGGUAGCGCCUCGUGAAUUCAUCUCCGGGGGUAGAGCACUGUUUCGGCAAGGGGGUCAUCCCGACUUACCAACCCGAUGCAAACUGCGAAUACCGGAGAAUGUUAUCACGGGAGACACACGGCGGGUGCUAACGUCCGUCGUGAAGAGGGAAACAACCCAGACCGCCAGCUAAGGUCCCAAAGUCAUGGUUAAGUGGGAAACGAUGUGGGAAGGCCCAGACAGCCAGGAUGUUGGCUUAGAAGCAGCCAUCAUUUAAAGAAAGCGUAAUAGCUCACUGGUCGAGUCGGCCUGCGCGGAAGAUGUAACGGGGCUAAACCAUGCACCGAAGCUGCGGCAGCGACGCUGAUGCGUUGUUGGGUAGGGGAGCGUUCUGUAAGCCUGUGAAGGUGUGCUGUGAGGCAUGCUGGAGGUAUCAGAAGUGCGAAUGCUGACAUAAGUAACGAUAAAGCGGGUGAAAAGCCCGCUCGCCGGAAGACCAAGGGUUCCUGUCCAACGUUAAUCGGGGCAGGGUGAGUCGACCCCUAAGGCGAGGCCGAAAGGCGUAGUCGAUGGGAAACAGGUUAAUAUUCCUGUACUUGGUGUUACUGCGAAGGGGGGACGGAGAAGGCUAUGUUGGCCGGGCGACGGUUGUCCCGGUUUAAGCGUGUAGGCUGGUUUUCCAGGCAAA
This 1039-nucleotide ribosomal RNA is filed under the name Escherichia coli. RNAcentral describes it as "partial 23S ribosomal RNA". It matches the Rfam family "Bacterial large subunit ribosomal RNA", at positions 498 to 1540 of the family's 2925-position model. The record is from RNAcentral. Lineage: Bacteria; Pseudomonadati; Pseudomonadota; Gammaproteobacteria; Enterobacterales; Enterobacteriaceae.